UUUAAGCGGGGGAUAGCCCAGUGGUAAAGCCUGGAUUAACUACCCCAUAGCAUUGUGGUGUGGCAUGCAUAACGUAUAGAAUUCACAGAUUUAUCACUUACAGAUGGCUGUGCGCUACUGAUUAGGUAGUUGGCGGGGUAUCGUGUCCACCAAGCCUUCGAUCAUUAACUGGUGUGAGAGCCCAACCAGACACACUUGGCACUGAGACACGGGUCCACGACUUCAUACGGGAGGCAGCAGUAAGGAAUAUUGGUCAAUGGACGCAAGUCUGAACCAGCCAUGCCGCGUGAAGGAUGACAGGUCCUCUGGAUUGUAAACUUCUUUUAUCUGGGACGAAACACUCGUUUUCUAACGAGCUUGACGGUACCAGAGGAAUAAGCACCGGCUAACUCCGUGCCAGCCGCCGCGG
RNAcentral lists this ribosomal RNA (409 nucleotides) under uncultured bacterium. RNAcentral describes it as "bacterial SSU rRNA". It matches the Rfam family "Bacterial small subunit ribosomal RNA", at positions 131 to 520 of the family's 1533-position model. The record is from RNAcentral.